CAAUAGCGUAUAUUAAAGUUGUUGCAGUUAAAAAGCUCGUAGUUGGAUUUCUGAUCGAGACAUCAGGUCGGGUCCGAGAGGAUCAUGUACUUUGAUUUUGUUUUGAUCAUCCUUGGGGAGAGCAUUUCUGGCAUUCAGUUGUCGGGAUUGGGAUCCUCAUCGUUUACUGUGAAAAAAUUAGAGCGUUCAAAGCAGGCCUCGGCCUCUGAAUACAUUAGCAUGGAAUAAUAAGAUAGGACUUUGGUGGUCUAUUUUGUUGGUUUGCACGCCAAAGUAAUGAUUAAUAGGGAUAGUUGGGGGUAUUCGUAUUCAAUUGUCAGAGGUGAAAUUCUUGGAUUUAUGGAAGACGAACUACUGCGAAAGCAUUUACCAAGGAUGUUUUCAUUAA
RNAcentral lists this ribosomal RNA (388 nucleotides) under uncultured eukaryote. RNAcentral describes it as "partial 18S ribosomal RNA". It matches the Rfam family "Eukaryotic small subunit ribosomal RNA", at positions 592 to 976 of the family's 1831-position model. The record is from RNAcentral.